RNAcentral lists this ribosomal RNA (254 nucleotides) under uncultured bacterium. RNAcentral describes it as "partial 16S ribosomal RNA". It matches the Rfam family "Bacterial small subunit ribosomal RNA", at positions 87 to 339 of the family's 1533-position model. The record is from RNAcentral.
AAGACUUAGUGGCGGACGGGUGAGUAAUGCAUGAGCAACCUGCCUUCAGGAGGGGGAUAACAUCGGGAAACCGGUGCUAAUACCGCAUAGAGCAUUUUGCAGGCAUCUGCGAGAUGGGAAAGGAGCAAUCCGCCUGGAGAUGGGCUCAUGUCUGAUUAGAUAGUUGGUGAGGUAACGGCUCACCAAGUCGACGAUCGGUAGCCGGACUGAGAGGUUGAACGGCCACAUUGGGACUGAGACACGGCCCAGACUCC